Molecule: ribosomal RNA, 465 nt
Filed under: uncultured Klebsiella sp.
Lineage: Bacteria; Pseudomonadati; Pseudomonadota; Gammaproteobacteria; Enterobacterales; Enterobacteriaceae
Description: bacterial SSU rRNA
Rfam family: Bacterial small subunit ribosomal RNA
Source: RNAcentral
CCUACGGGUGGCAGCAGUGGGGAAUAUUGCACAAUGGGCGCAAGCCUGAUGCAGCCAUGCCGCGUGUGUGAAGAAGGCCUUCGGGUUGUAAAGCACUUUCAGCGGGGAGGAAGGCGGUGAGGUUAAUAACCUCAUCGAUUGACGUUACCCGCAGAAGAAGCACCGGCUAACUCCGUGCCAGCAGCCGCGGUAAUACGGAGGGUGCAAGCGUUAAUCGGUAUUACUGGGCGUAAAGCGCACGCAGGCGGUCUGUCAAGUCGGAUGUUAAAUCCCCGGGCUCAACCUGGGAACUGCAUUCGAAACUGGCAGGCUAUAGUCUUGUAGAGGGGGGUAGAAUUCCAGGUGUAGCGGUGAAAUGCGUAGAGAUCUGGAGGAAUACCGGUGGCGAAGGCGGCCCCCUGGACAAAGACUGACGCUCAGGUGCGAAAGCGUGGGGAGCAAACAGGAUUAGAUACCCUUGUAGUC